AGGCAGGCAACUGCAAUUACAUUACACAGAAAAAAAAAGACUGAUGUUUAGCCCUAAAAAGGGCUUUUUGGGGUGCUGUCCUUACAGCAGAGAUCAGAUGAGUCCUUCAGGACUGUAGUGGACACUGAAUACACUAGCCUAGCUAUCAAAUUCCCUAUUAAAUCAGCAGCAGCUACACUGUCCCUCCUCUCACUAAGAAUGCAGCUUCACAAUGAAUGUAAAAUGAAUGCUGUCCAGGAGGUGGGAGGGUCUGCUGCUGAUUGGCUGGAAUGUGUCUGCUGACUGUGAG
Pelobates cultripes (western spadefoot toad) is the source of this 289-nucleotide non-coding RNA. Lineage: Eukaryota; Metazoa; Chordata; Amphibia; Anura; Pelobatidae. The record is from the annotation of a GenBank genome assembly.